UAUUUUGGGUUGGAUCGAGCUUGGACAAGCAUAAAGUAUGUUAAUAUCAUGUUUAGGUCCAACCCGACUCG
RNAcentral lists this microRNA precursor (71 nucleotides) under Gossypium hirsutum (cotton). RNAcentral describes it as "MIR8757 microRNA precursor family". It matches the Rfam family "MIR8757 microRNA precursor family". Lineage: Eukaryota; Viridiplantae; Streptophyta; Magnoliopsida; Malvales; Malvaceae. The record is from Rfam by way of RNAcentral.